Molecule: non-coding RNA, 2034 nt
Organism: Malus domestica (apple)
Lineage: Eukaryota; Viridiplantae; Streptophyta; Magnoliopsida; Rosales; Rosaceae
Source: RefSeq, a predicted model, not a curated record
UCCAUUCUCUCUUAUUCUCUCGAGCACCCUCUCUAUCUCAUCUCUCCCUCUUAAACUCUCUUUUCUCUGUGAACCACAGAGACGCUAGGAUGAAACCACACCAUCACAAAUGCUCUUCCUCCUCCAAUAUUCCUUCCACCUGGACAACUCCCCAUCCAUCUCAAACUCUCUCGCAUUCCCUGUGAAACCAGUGCAACCGUGCACAGCACCACUAUCACUGCACCACCAUAACUCUACAGGAAAAAUGGAACCUCAUUAGAUCCCCAAGUCAUCAUCCUCUAUGUCCCCCUCGUCCACCUAUGAUCUCGGUGUUUACACUCGAACUCUCUCUCUAUUCUCUGUGCACAGAAGCACUGUGCAAUCAUGAUUGGCGUGGAUUGGACAAGGGGGAGGAUUUUUCAGUUUUCUAGGAAAUGAAAACCGUGGCCAUCCGACCACUUUCAGACCAAUUUCCCAGUCAGCACGGAUAACGAAUGAGCUUCUAAUAGGCGAAAUGCAUUGCAAGGACUCUUGAUGCUACGAGAUGGGUUCGACUCGACAACAUGAUCUUGCUUACCCCGAGCCAGGACCAGUCUUUCAUGUGUAUGUUCACCUCCGCACCGCACACUCAUCUUGGAUCCAAGUAAGUGCCAGUCCUAUCGUUCAAGUUGCAUUCGGCAACUUCAACUCGUAUGUGACCACGUUUAGUGCCAAUCUUCAUGUGAUUGUAGCACUAAAGUGUAUAUUAUGAUGACACCUAGUCUUGUUGUACAAGUCUCAUUAGGCGACUUCGACUAGUGUGCUAACAUAGAUUGAUAAGCAUCAGUUCAGUUGUACAGGUCGCAUUAGGCCACUCCAACUUGUGUCCUAGUAUAGAUUGAUUGAACACCUGAUUUUACUUAUUACUGUUGAGAUAUUGUGAUGUGGCAUACUUCUGGAUUUACUGUUGAUUGCGUUUGAUUUCAUACCCAUACGUAGUAUGAUUUUCUAGAAACUAUACUUGCUUUACGGCUAGGGGUUAUAACGUUUUAAAAAGGUUUUUAUUAAAGCUUUGUUUUCAAGCCCACUUACCCUUGUUUUUCGCCCCUCCAGGUUUUAGCAGCUCAACUUUUGUAUCGGCGAAGAUUCUUGGCAAAUCUUGGUGUAGACGAAUACCUACGAUGGUGUAAUUCUCACCCUAUCUUACUGUACGGUACUUAUGCUUUGACAUCACGUGUGAAAUGACUUCAUUCCCGCUCACAGUGCACUUUUAUAUUUAGGCACUUUUAGGUUUAAAUUUAUUCACAUUGAGAGAGAUGUAUUUUCUUUUAUUAUUAAAGAGCCUAUUAUGCGACAUUUUCAUGAUACGAAACCUUGCCAGCAACAAUUGUAAUUUGUUUGUAUUGAUCAAUUAUGGAAGACAUUACUAUAUAAAGGAUUUGGUUAUUGCUAUUCUUUUGAACCUUGCACUCUUUUAACUUCGCCCCUCCCUUCGUCAAUUCCUGGCUUUGCCAUUGGUGAAGAGUGCGCAAAAGGUGGAGUAUGGAUCGUCUUCAGGAACCAGGAGGGUGAGUUUGUGGCUGGACUCUCGGUCCACAUUGCACAUGAUGCCUCUUCGUUGCAGGUGGAGUUGUUGGCAGCUAGAAAGGCUCUAUUGUUUGACAAGGAGUUGAUCCCAGAUUUUGAAAGGAUUCUGUUAUUGUUCUCGCUGCCGUGAAGAGACAAGAAGAGGAUGUGUCCACUAUGGGACCAAUUAUCAAUGACAUUAGGAGGCUGUUACUUUCAUUUCCCAAGGUGAGAGCUUCCCAUGUUCAACGGGAAGCCAAUUAGGUGGCACAUCGCCUAGCACGCGCAUGAAUUGGUAGUGAUACUGAGAUGGUGUGGUUUGAAGAUCCGCCGGAUUUAAUCAUGGAUGCUUUGUUGGAAGAUUGUCCUAGAUAGUAAUUGAUUUUAUUGUACUUUUAGGAGGAUAGUUCUCUUUGUUUGAAUGUGCGGGACACUCUUUUUCCCUUCGGUCGAGUUGUAAUCCCCGACAAGGUUUUAUCGAGGCCCAAUCAAUAUGCAAUAUGCACCCUA